CUACGGACUGAAAAUCCGUUGGCUUUAUUGACCGUGAGGGUUCAAGUCCCUCUACCCCCA
This 60-nucleotide transfer RNA is filed under the name Grimmia ramondii. RNAcentral describes it as "partial transfer RNA-Leu". It matches the Rfam family "tRNA", at positions 24 to 71 of the family's 71-position model. Rfam says of the family: Transfer RNA (tRNA) molecules are approximately 80 nucleotides in length. Their secondary structure includes four short double-helical elements and three loops (D, anti-codon, and T loops). Further hydrogen bonds mediate the characteristic L-shaped molecular structure. tRNAs have two regions of fundamental functional importance: the anti-codon, which is responsible for specific mRNA codon recognition, and the 3' end, to which the tRNAs corresponding amino acid is attached (by aminoacyl-tRNA synthetases). tRNAs cope with the degeneracy of the genetic code in two manners: having more than one tRNA (with a specific anti-codon) for a particular amino acid; and 'wobble' base-pairing, i.e. permitting non-standard base-pairing at the 3rd anti-codon position. The record is from RNAcentral. Lineage: Eukaryota; Viridiplantae; Streptophyta; Bryopsida; Grimmiales; Grimmiaceae.